Molecule: RNase P RNA, 444 nt
Filed under: Clostridiales bacterium
Lineage: Bacteria; Bacillati; Bacillota; Clostridia; Eubacteriales
Description: RNase P RNA component class A
Rfam family: Bacterial RNase P class A
About the family: Ribonuclease P (RNase P) is a ubiquitous endoribonuclease, found in archaea, bacteria and eukarya as well as chloroplasts and mitochondria. Its best characterised activity is the generation of mature 5'-ends of tRNAs by cleaving the 5'-leader elements of precursor-tRNAs. Cellular RNase Ps are ribonucleoproteins.
Source: RNAcentral
AAAGCAGACUGGGCAGUCGCGGGGGCUUUAAUGCCUUCGAGGAAAGUCCGAGCUCCAUAGGGCAGGGUGCUGGGUAACCCCCAGUGAGGGUAACCUCAAGGAAAGUGCCACAGAAAAAAACCGCCAAGUUAGAAGUCGGAUGUCAGAGGUCGGAUUUGGCGGAAUCGUCGAAAGAAACGAUUCCAAAUAAAUCUGGCAAACUGACUUCUGACAUCCGACCUCCAGCUUGGUAAGGGUGCAACGGUGCGGUAAGAGCGCACCAGCGGUCAGGUGACUGGCCGGCUAGGUAAACCCCACCUGGAGCAAGACCAAAUAGGGGAGAGUUGACGCGGCCCGCAGAUCUCCCGGGUUAGGUCGCUAGAGACGGCAGGUAACUGUCGUACCAGAGAGAUGGCUGCCACCCCGUAAGGGGAACAGAACUCGGCUUACAGGUUUGCUUUGUAU